Raphanus sativus (radish) is the source of this 913-nucleotide long non-coding RNA. RefSeq lists it as uncharacterized. Lineage: Eukaryota; Viridiplantae; Streptophyta; Magnoliopsida; Brassicales; Brassicaceae. The transcript has 3 exons. The record is from RefSeq and is a predicted model, not a curated record.
GAAGGAACAUGUUGGAGGGAUCCAUGGAUAGUCGACCAAAACGGAAAAGAUUUCUCCACUUGUUCUCUUGAGUUCGAUCAUAUCAGGAAGAGGAGUAGUCAAGUCUGCAUCAACCUUUACAUGGGCAAGAUUGACGUCGGUCUAGUGGAAGCCCAGUGAGAUGAGCCCAGAGGGGAAUGGCAGAAAGGUCUAUUGGAGCUGCUUCUUGAUCCGAAGUCCACGUGGAGACUUGAAACAUUGCGGUUCCUACGUUGGUUCUGAUAUCUAGCUUCUGGCCCUUGCCCCAAGGAAGUUGAGCACACUUUGUAUCGCUUGAUAGGAUGGCAUUUUUGCCAAGAAGGAACCAACUAUGAACUCUUUAUGCAUCUCUGCUCCUCUUCGAAACACAUCAUCAGGAACUGUCACUUGAGGGAUUCCUGCUUCAGAGUAUUCUUUUGGAGCUAGGCGCGAAAGGGAUUUAUUUGCAACGUGGCUUACUUUCUGAGCCCAAGUUUUUGAAGGGGGGGAAGUAGCUGAGUGGGUAGGUUCUGGUGUGGUAGAGGGGGUGUUGUUACUGGUAGUGAUAGGGACAGAAGGAUUGAGGUUCGAACGGGGGGUAGAGGGAUAGUUGUUUUUCUGGCUGAUUUUUGUUGGGAGGGAAAAGAUUGUGGUUUUUGCUUUUGGUUUGCAGGGUGGAAGUCAGUAUGGAUAGGAAGGGAUUUUUUUAGGAGGGAGAAUUGCAAAUCCCUGAAAGUUUUCUGCUUCACUAUUCAUGAGAACAGUGCUAGUUGCCUCAACCUCAGAUCCGGUCUGAGAUGAUGCAGAUCCGGCUUCAGGGCCAGUAGUAGGGGGUGAAGAAGUAGAGGGGAUGGGGUGAGCAGCAGCAGAGGACGCAGUCUCCACAAGGGAAGAAGUUUGCUUCUUUGCUACAGAG